Molecule: long non-coding RNA, 572 nt
Organism: Cyprinus carpio carpio
Lineage: Eukaryota; Metazoa; Chordata; Actinopteri; Cypriniformes; Cyprinidae
Source: Ensembl
AUUGAUCUCUAGCAGAAACUGAUAUUUCCCCCUAUAAGUAGCACUUCUAAAACUAUAUAACUCCCCUUUGGUAACUAAAGUUAUUUUGUAUUUACCCAUUGUGUUACUCGUGUGUCACUAACCUAUUAGCCAUCAUGCCCAUGACCAGAAGCAUCGCCCCAAUCAGAAGACCCAGAAAAGCAAAUGCCAGCAUGCCAAACUUCCACGAUGUUGCUGUGAAACAAAAGAACGGCAUUGAACCAUUUGCGGCCCUUCAGGAAAGUCAAACUCAUCGGUCUCUAAAUCACUUUCUCUUCUGGAUCCUGAGAGAAUCAAUGAAGAUGAGAUAUAUAUUACAGCAUAAUACCAUGAAGAGAUGAAGUGAAGAAGAUGUCACCCGCAUCCAGAGACUUCCAGGUGUCAUGUUCACCCUUGUUCAGUCUGAGUUUUCCUCUCUCAGUGCUCAAUGCCAGAGAGUUUUGCUGACUGAUGAGCUGUUGAGCUUUGCACUGCCAUUUGAUAUGUUCACCAGAAUCACAAGCGAUAGUCUGGACUGGGUCAGUGUGGAUGGCAGAAAGACACCUCAGGGUGCC